UAGAGCCUACCUGUGAUUACCAUUUCAUUUUCCUUUCUUCAUCCUUAUCUUCAUCUCCUUCCUCUCCUUUCCUCUUCCACCUUCCUUCCUCCAUCAAUUUUAAUGGUAGUGAAGAUUUUAAUAGUAGUUAAGCAAUAAUUUCAACCUCUAUUCUAUCCAAGUAAGUAAAUCUUCUUGAAUUUCAUAAUUGAAUCAUUUGGUGAUAUUUUUAGAGUAUUCAUAAGAAUUCUUAUUUAUAGGUGAAGUGAGUUUAAAGGUAGUAGAAAAAGGAAGCUAAAAAGAACAGCUCAAGUUUUUUAGAGUGAAGGUUUGAUAUCUCUUUUAAUUUAUCACUUUCCUUGCAUGAAAACUUGUGUUGUGUGUUGAUAAUGAGAAAAUAUGUUGCUUAAUGUUGAGUGAGAGAACUGGAAAUGAUGAGAAAGCAUAGGAUGAAAUGGAUAAAUGAACAACAUAAUGAACAGCAUAAUAAAUGCCAUUUCACUGUAACCUUAUGGAGCCAUACAGUUAUGGGAUUGUAUUAUGUAUAAAUUAUAAAAGGUGCAUAAUUUAUACAGCAUAAUGAACAGCAGGCAAGAUCAUGAAAGUAUAUUGAUAUGUGUGAUUGCAUGUUUAUUUAUUUCUUAUUAAGUUGAGAUAUCCACUGAGCUUUAUUUGCUCAGCGAGUUACUUGUUUUAACUCGCAGAUUCUAGGUCUGGACUGUAGAGAAUCAUCGUACAACUGCGGCAGUUCAUCUUUGGAAGACCCAGUCUUCAGGGUAGCUAUUCAUUUUGAUAUUUUGGUACUGUCUAUUCUUAUCAUGGCAUGUACCGGGCACAUAGUUGGGCCCAUUUCAUUUUGGAAACUAAUAUAAUAUCUUGUAAAUGUUAAGUACAUAUCUCUAUUUUACUAAUGUAAAAAAAAAGCAACAGCAUGAUUUAUUAUUCAACAUACAUAAGGAUAUCAGCCUGAAAGGAUAUAAAUCCAACCAGAUUGUAGCGUCUCGGCUCGGUUCAUUCGAGUUAACGGGUGGACUGGGAAGGGAUGUUACAAAAUUUGUUCUCCACGUGAAAAGCCUAUGUUAUAUCUUUAAGUAAAAUAGCAUAAAGAAACACAAUUGGG
RNAcentral lists this long non-coding RNA (1099 nucleotides) under Jatropha curcas. Its description in RNAcentral is "long non-coding RNA (JCUR_LNC002700)". The record is from RNAcentral. Lineage: Eukaryota; Viridiplantae; Streptophyta; Magnoliopsida; Malpighiales; Euphorbiaceae.